This 21-nucleotide non-coding RNA is filed under the name Caenorhabditis elegans. Lineage: Eukaryota; Metazoa; Nematoda; Chromadorea; Rhabditida; Rhabditidae. The record is from RNAcentral.
CGAUACUAAAUCCGAUAAAAA